RNAcentral lists this ribosomal RNA (2840 nucleotides) under Lactuca sativa (garden lettuce). Its description in RNAcentral is "bacterial LSU rRNA". The stretch from base 1334 to 2763 matches the Rfam family "Bacterial large subunit ribosomal RNA". Lineage: Eukaryota; Viridiplantae; Streptophyta; Magnoliopsida; Asterales; Asteraceae. The record is from RNAcentral.
CUUGACCUGAUUGUGAGCAUGGUCCUUUUGGGUUGCCUUCGUCAUAGCAACUGAUAGGAUGAAUUAAGGAGAAAGAAGAUUAAGUAUGAUUUAUUAAUAUAUUAUAUGAAUAAUAUAUUAAAAGAGAAAUCAUAUUGUUUAAUUAAUAUUAGUCAAGAAUUAAUUUUGUGGCUAAAAGAGAUUAAUUAAAUACAGGGGACUGAUAUUGCAAUUAUAUGAUAGUUGUACUUAGGCUAUAGAUUCCUAAUGGAAAGAGGAUUGGACGAAAUCUAUGGGAAGCCCAUAUGGAUUUCGUCCAAGGGCUUAGGGCCUAAGCAGUCAGAUUAGAGUUUCGUGGUUGAAAACCUUAAUAGCCUAAGUAUAGAAGGAACCAUUGGCAAGCCAAAAACGUCCCUAACCUUAUAAGAUAAACCCUAGGACGUUUUUGGUGCCUCCUCCCUCUCUCCUUGUUCGUCUUGUUACAUAUGGUGUUUGUGACUCCAUUAGAGGUGCAACAUUUAAGGCACUAAGCUUUCAAAAGUCAACAUCAAAAGGAAUUAAGAUUGUUAGUGCUACAUAACAAUCAAUGUAAGAUCUAAACCCUAAUUCAUAUGUUAAUUCGGUUAUUGUAUGCUAGAUCUAGGGUUUAUGAGCUUUGGAUGAUUACUGCAUGUUCAUUAGACAAAAUAAAUCCAAAGCUUUAGGGUUUGCAUGUAUAGUUGUACACCAUAGGAUUGAUGUAGUGCUCAAAACCCAUCAUUCUAUUCAUGAAGUAGUUAGCUAAUAUUAGUAGGGUUUCUUCAACGGCUGAUGAGAGGGUAAGGUGGGAAUCAUACAAAUUGCUCCAUGGGUUGUAACAUAUAUAUAUAUAUAUAUAUAUAUAUAUAUAUAUAUAUAUAUUAUUUUAAUAUAAUAUUAUAUAAUUAAAAUCAUACAAAUUUACAAUAAAUAAAUUACAAAAUUAAAAUUAAGUUAAAAUAUUUAAAAUAAUGUUGCCUUCUAGUACUGAAAAUAAAAUAUUACAAAAUUAAAUUUACGAGAUGAUAAGAAUUUCUUAACAUUAUAAAACCUCGUCUAUUUUUAGCAUCCCAUAUUAGUUGAGAAUAUUCGUAAAUACCUUCCAAAUUAUUAGUUAUACGUAGGAAUAAACACCUACUGAUACGAAAACGACGUUUGGAUUGAAUAUGUUUGUAUAAACAAUCAUCGGAAAGUAAUCACGUACCAAAAAUGUGUGUGUGUGUGAUGUUACGAUCCAUGCUUAUUUAAAUUCUAAUAUUCCUGAUGGCGUUUGAAGUUUCAGCUUGUUGAUCCAACAUGGUAACUGACGUUUAUAGGAAUGAGUGAAGAAACAUAUCAUCCCCGUCCAAUGAAGAUGAAGAUAAAAAAUUGAUCAUCAUUUAAUUGUGGUUGUGUAGCAUGUAUAGCAAUUUUUGUAAAAAAGAUAUGGUAUUUGUAGUGUGAAAGUAAAAUAAGAUAUUGUAUUUUUUAAUAUCAAUUUUUUUGUUUAAAUGCAUGAAAAGGUCAAAAAGACUCUCUCUUUCUCUCUCUCUCUCUCUCUCUCUCUCUCUCUCUCUCUCUCUCUUGGGCGUGGGACAACUCUCUCUGGGGAACUCUACAAAAUAGCCAUGUAACUUCGAGAGAAGGGGUGCCUCCUCACAAAGGGGGUCGCAGUGACCAGGCCCAGGCGACUGUUUAUUGAAAACACAGGUCUCCGCAAAGUCGUAAGACCAUGUAUGGGGGCUGACGCCUGCCCAGUGUCGGAAGGUCAAGGAAGUUGGUGACCUGAUGAUAGGGGAGCUGACGACCGAAGCCCCGGUGAACGGCGGCCGUAACUAUAACGGUCCUAAGGUAGUGAAAUUCCUUGUUGGGUAAGUUUCGACCCGCACGAAAGGCGUAACGAUCUGGGCACUGUCUCGGAGAGAGACUCGGUGAAAUAGACAUGUCUGUGAAGAUGCGGACUACCUGCAACUGGACAGAAAGACCCUAUGAAGCUUCACUGUUCUCUGGGAUUGGCUUUGGGCUUUUCCUGCGCAGCUUAGGUGGAAGGCGAAGAAGGCCUCCUUCCGGGGGGCCGGAGCCAUCAGUGAGAUACCACUCUGGAAGAGCUAGAAUUCUAACCUUGUGUCAGGACGUACGAGCCAAGGGACAGUCUCAGGUAGACAAUUUCUAUGGGGCGUAGGCCUCCCAAAAGGUAACGGAGGCGUGCAAAGGUUUCCUUGGGUCGAACGGAGAUUGGCCCUCGAGUGCAAAGGCAUAAGGGAGCUUGACUGCAAGACCCACCCGUCGAGCAGGGACGAAAGUCGGCCUUAGUGACCUGAUGGUGCCGAGUGGAAGGGUUGUCGCUCUACGGAUAAAAGUUACUCUAGGGAUAACAUACUGAUCUUCCCCAAGAGCGCACAUCGACGGGAAGGUUUGGCACCUCGAUGUCGGCUCUUCGCACCUGGGGCUAUAGUAUGUUCCAAGGGUUGGGUUGUUCGCCCAUUAAAGCAGUACGUGAGCUGGGUUCAGAACGUCGUGAGACAGUUCGGUCCAUAUCCGGUGUGGGCGUUAGAGCAUUGAGAGGACAUUUCCCUAGUACAAGAGGACCGGGAAGGACGCACCUCUAGUGUACCAGUUAUUGUGCCCACGAUAAACGUUGGGUAGCCAAGUGCGGAGCGGAUAACUGCUGAAAGCAUCUAAGUAGUAAGCCCACCUCAAGAUGAGUGCUCUUCUGUUCCUACUUUCCCAGAGCCUUCGGUAGCACAGCCGAGACAGCGACGGGUUCUCUGCCCCUGCGGGGAUGAAGCGACAGAAGUUUUGAGAAUUCAAGAGGCCACGACGAGACAAGCCGUUUAUCAUUACAAUAGGUCUCUCUCUCUCUC